GUCCACGCCCUAAACGAUGUCUACUAGUUGUCGGGUCUUAAUUGACUUGGUAACGCAGCUAACGCGUGAAGUAGACCGCCUGGGGAGUACGGUCGCAAGAUUAAAACUCAAAGGAAUUGACGGGGACCCGCACAAGCGGUGGAUGAUGUGGAUUAAUUCGAUGCAACGCGAAAACCUUACCUACCCUUGACAUGGCUGGAAUCCCCGAGAGAUUGGGGAGUGCCCGAAAGGGAACCAGUACACAGGUGCUGCAUGGCUGUCGU
Molecule: ribosomal RNA, 263 nt
Filed under: uncultured bacterium
Lineage: Bacteria
Description: partial 16S ribosomal RNA
Rfam family: Bacterial small subunit ribosomal RNA
Source: RNAcentral